UGGGAAUCUCUUCAGCUUUGCCAUCUGGCU
RNAcentral lists this non-coding RNA (30 nucleotides) under Mus musculus (house mouse). The record is from RNAcentral. Lineage: Eukaryota; Metazoa; Chordata; Mammalia; Rodentia; Muridae.